Molecule: non-coding RNA, 123 nt
Organism: Vibrio sp.
Lineage: Bacteria; Pseudomonadati; Pseudomonadota; Gammaproteobacteria; Vibrionales; Vibrionaceae
Source: Rfam
UAUGACCCCCGCCCGGUAAAGGUUAGCCACCGACCGGAAGCGAGUCUUGCGUGGUGACCGGGUAACCGGCGCUGCGAAGCGUAGACAGCAGAAAAGGGGAUUUAUUUUCCCUACUCUAAAACG